Molecule: ribosomal RNA, 480 nt
Filed under: uncultured bacterium
Lineage: Bacteria
Description: partial 16S ribosomal RNA
Rfam family: Bacterial small subunit ribosomal RNA
Source: RNAcentral
GACGAACGCUGGCGGCGUGCUUAACACAUGCAAGUCGAACGAUGAAGAAAAGAAUCGAAGCUUCGGCAGAAAUUCAUUUCGGAUUAGUGGCAGACGGGUGAGUAACGCGUGAGCAACCUACCUCUUACAAAGGGAUAGCCUCGGGAAACCGGGAUUAAUACCAUAUCACAUUGUGACGAAGCAUUUCGAUGCAAUCAAAGCUACGGCGGUAAGAGAUGGGCUCGCGUCCCAUUAACCGGAUGGUGAGGUAACGGCUCACCAUAGUGACGAUGGGUAACCGGCCUGAGAGGGUGAACGGUCACACUGGAACUGAGACACGGUCCAGACUCCUACGGGAGGCAGCAGUGGGGAAUAUUGCACAAUGGAGGGAACUCUGAUGCAGCGACGCCGCGUGAGUGAUGAAGGAAUUCGUUUCGUAAAACUCUGUUCUAUGGGAAGAAAAGGACUGUACCAUAGGAGAAAGCUCCGGCUAAAUACGUG